AUUAUAAACGCUUUAACUGCCUA
RNAcentral lists this non-coding RNA (23 nucleotides) under Arabidopsis thaliana (thale cress). The record is from RNAcentral. Lineage: Eukaryota; Viridiplantae; Streptophyta; Magnoliopsida; Brassicales; Brassicaceae.